UACGUAGGUGGCAAGCGUUGUCCGGAUUUAUUGGGCGUAAAGCGAGCGCAGGCGGUUCUUUAAGUCUGAUGUGAAAGCCCCGGGCUCAACCUGGGAACCGCAUUUCGAACUGGCAAACUAGAGUCUUGUAGAGGGGGGUAGAAUUCCUGGUGUAGCAGUGAAAUGCGUAGAGAUCAGGAGGAACACCGAUGGCGAAGGCAGCCCCCUGGGCCUGUACUGACGCUCAUGCACGAAAGCGUGGGGAGCAAACAGG
Molecule: ribosomal RNA, 253 nt
Filed under: uncultured microorganism
Description: partial 16S ribosomal RNA
Rfam family: Bacterial small subunit ribosomal RNA
Source: RNAcentral